RNAcentral lists this unclassified non-coding RNA (401 nucleotides) under Haliotis rubra (blacklip abalone). Its description in RNAcentral is "uncharacterized LOC124292389, transcript variant X1". The record is from RNAcentral. Lineage: Eukaryota; Metazoa; Mollusca; Gastropoda; Lepetellida; Haliotidae.
AUCUAUAUCCAAAAUCGAUGACACUGAUUUUAUCGAAUGCCUUUCAAGCUAGAUAAGCUGAGAAAACCACACCUAUAGAUCAGCUGGACCACUGGCCUUUCCUGAAGAACCGACUGUCCCCAUAUAGGCAGUCAUGUGACAAGACCCCCAAUAAAUUUGGGCCAUUGACUCAGCGAUGUACCUCUGAAAUCAGAAGAAAUACAGAAGCUACGCCUGAUGCUUUAAUUUGGAUGUCCGCUAGGAUUUCAUCUACACAGAAAGUCCUGCUACUGGUUCUCAAACGUGCGAUGUUCGUUUCCAGAGGCGGCUGCCUACUGUUGUUACUUGGAGAGCCAUCUUGCGACAAUAGAAAGCCAAGAUGAAGACCCGUUCAUCAACGGAUAUGCUAUCCGACGUGGCAG